CUUGUGGAUAGGGGUGAAAGGCUAAUCAAACUCGGUGAUAGCUGGUUCUCCCCGAAGCUAUUUAGGUAGCGCCUCGGACGAAUACCACAGGGGGUAGAGCACUGUUUCGGCUAGCGGGUCAUACCGACUUAGCAAACCGAUGCAAACUCCGAAUACCUGUGAGUACUAUCCGGGAGACAGACGGUGGGUGCUAAUGUCCAUCGUCAAGAGGGAAACAACCCAGACCGCCAGCUAAGGCCCCAAAUUUCUAGUUAAGUGGGGAAACGAUGUGGGAAGGCAUAGACAGCUAGGAGGUUGGCUUAGAAGCAGCCACCCUUUAAGAAAGCGUAAUAGCUCACUAGUCGAGUCGGCCUGCGCGGAAGAUGUAACGAGGUCCCUCCCCACAGAGCUUUACGACCCCGAAGGCCUUCAUCACUCACGCGGCAUGGCUGGAUCAGGCUUUCGCCCAUUGUCCAAUAUUCCCCACUGCUGCCUCCCGUAGGAGUCUGGGCCGUGUCUCAGUCCCAGUGUGGCUGGUCAUCCU
This 523-nucleotide ribosomal RNA is filed under the name uncultured bacterium. RNAcentral describes it as "partial 16S ribosomal RNA". It matches the Rfam family "Bacterial large subunit ribosomal RNA", at positions 808 to 1220 of the family's 2925-position model. The record is from RNAcentral.